RNAcentral lists this ribosomal RNA (470 nucleotides) under uncultured bacterium. RNAcentral describes it as "bacterial SSU rRNA". It matches the Rfam family "Bacterial small subunit ribosomal RNA", at positions 29 to 506 of the family's 1533-position model. The record is from RNAcentral.
ACGAACGCUAGCGGCGUGGAUAAGACAUGCAAGUCGAACGGGAUCAAGUCUGUAGCAAUACAGGCUUGGUCCAGUGGCAAACGGGUGCGUAACACGUGAGUAAUCUGCCGGGAAGUGGGGGAUAGCUCGCCGAAAGGCGAAUUAAUACCGCAUAUGGCCAGAGAGGACAUCCUCUCGAAGCCAAAGUCGCAAGACGCCUCCUGAUGAGCUCGCGGCCUAUCAGCUAGUUGGUGAGGUAACGGCUCACCAAGGCUAUGACGGGUAGCUGGUCUGAGAGGACGACCAGUCACACUGGAACUGAGACACGGUCCAGACACCUACGGGUGGCAGCAGUCGAGAAUUUUUCACAAUGGGGGAAACCCUGAUGGAGCGACGCCGCGUGGAGGACGAAGGUCUUCGGAUUGUAAACUCCUGUCAUGCGGGAACAAGAAAGUGAUAGUACCGCAAGAGGAAGAGACGGCUAACUCUGU